Long non-coding RNA from Pyrus x bretschneideri (Chinese white pear), 559 nucleotides. RefSeq lists it as uncharacterized. Lineage: Eukaryota; Viridiplantae; Streptophyta; Magnoliopsida; Rosales; Rosaceae. The transcript is spliced from 3 exons. The record is from RefSeq and is a predicted model, not a curated record.
CCCCAUUUUUCUGGGGGUUUGCUUUUUUGUCCCGUGAUAUCUCACUCUCACUCUCUAUUUUCUUCUUCUUCUUCUUCUUCCACUCUCACUCACCUUUACUCCUUCUCCUCCUCUUUUGCCGAGACACACACACACCCACACCUCUACACUUGCAACCACGGUAAGGCAACACCCCCACCAUCAUCCCUUGUAAUCCUUGUGAGCCAUUAGACCUAGAAAUAGGAGAAAAGUACCUUGUAAACUACCUCCCCGCACUGCACAGUACCAUCACUGUGCAUCAUUCUUCUCCGGUGAAUUCUGACCAUUUCCAUCCAAGGAGCUCGGAAAACACAAAGGAAGGUCACUGUUCAUUCUGGAAAUUUUCAACCCGUGGUCGUUUGGCCACUUUUCAGCCAUUUUUCCGGCCAACUCCGAUCUCCAUUGGGCCUCCUAAGGGUGAAACGUAUUGCAAGGAUCUUCGAAGCCCGCAAGGUGGGUUCGACCCGACUUCAUGUUAUGUGAGUGGGCAUUUGUUCUCUCUCUCUCUCUCUCUCUCUCUCUCUCUCUAUAUAUAUAUAUA